Molecule: ribosomal RNA, 464 nt
Filed under: uncultured bacterium
Lineage: Bacteria
Description: partial 16S ribosomal RNA
Rfam family: Bacterial small subunit ribosomal RNA
Source: RNAcentral
ACGAACGCUGGCGGCGUGCUUAACCCAUGCAAGUCGUACGGUAAGGCCCUUUCGGGGGUACACGAGUGGCGACCGGGUGAGUAACACGUGAGUAACCUGCCCACAACUUUGGGAUAACGCUAGGAAACUGGUGCUAAUACUGGAUAUGUGCUCCUGCUGCAUGGUGGGGGUUGGAAAGCUCCGGCGGUUGUGGAUGGACUCGCGGCCUAUCAGCUUGUUGGUGGGGUAGUGGCCUACCAAGGCGGCGACGGGUAGCCGGCCUGAGAGGGUGACCGGCCACAUUGGGACUGAGAUACGGCCCAGACGCCUACGGGGGGCAGCAGUGGGGAAUAUUGCACAAUGGGCGCAAGCCGGAUGCAGCAACGCCGCGUGCGGGAUGACGGCCUUCGGGUUGUAAACCGCUUUCAGCAGGGACGAAGCUUUUUGUGACGGUACCUGCAGAAGAAGCACCGGCUAACUACGUG